GCUUGAUUGUAAGUGCCGACUGAUUGCUUUCUUUCUCCUCGUUCUGCAGGGAAGAACAAGAACAAAGAAAAUGACAAGAAGAAAGCAUGCUAUGAGAUACUCUUACUUUCAACCCUAAUGAUAUGAGAUACGUUUGCUCUGGUGUGACUUGGUUGAAGAUGUAUUUUCAGGGAGGAAGAAAACUGAGUAUGUUGAGAGGUUUGGUCGCAGAUGUAUCCUUGGUAAGGAAAAA
Molecule: long non-coding RNA, 232 nt
Filed under: Malus domestica (apple)
Lineage: Eukaryota; Viridiplantae; Streptophyta; Magnoliopsida; Rosales; Rosaceae
Description: long non-coding RNA (MDOM_LNC010447)
Source: RNAcentral